CUGGAAAUAUUUAGCAGAUAUACUAAAAUUGAAGCAAUGCAGAGAAGAUUAGUGAGGCCUCUGUGGAAAGAUGACAUGUAAAUCUGUGAAGUGUUCUAGUUUGUU
Molecule: small nuclear RNA, 105 nt
Organism: Otolemur garnettii (small-eared galago)
Lineage: Eukaryota; Metazoa; Chordata; Mammalia; Primates; Galagidae
Source: Ensembl